This 520-nucleotide ribosomal RNA is filed under the name Pseudoalteromonas sp. IH8-16. Its description in RNAcentral is "bacterial SSU rRNA". It matches the Rfam family "Bacterial small subunit ribosomal RNA", at positions 88 to 607 of the family's 1533-position model. The record is from RNAcentral. Lineage: Bacteria; Pseudomonadati; Pseudomonadota; Gammaproteobacteria; Alteromonadales; Pseudoalteromonadaceae.
AUGACGAGCGGCGGACGGGUGAGUAAUGCUUGGGAACAUGCCUUGAGGUGGGGGACAACCAUUGGAAACGAUGGCUAAUACCGCAUAAUGUCUACGGACCAAAGGGGGCUUCGGCUCUCGCCUUUAGAUUGGCCCAAGUGGGAUUAGCUAGUUGGUGAGGUAAAGGCUCACCAAGGCGACGAUCCCUAGCUGGUUUGAGAGGAUGAUCAGCCACACUGGAACUGAGACACGGUCCAGACUCCUACGGGAGGCAGCAGUGGGGAAUAUUGCACAAUGGGCGCAAGCCUGAUGCAGCCAUGCCGCGUGUGUGAAGAAGGCCUUCGGGUUGUAAAGCACUUUCAGUCAGGAGGAAAGGUUAGUAGUUAAUACCUGCUAGCUGUGACGUUACUGACAGAAGAAGCACCGGCUAACUCCGUGCCAGCAGCCGCGGUAAAUACGGGAGGGUGCGAGCGUUUAAUCGGAAAUUACUUGGGCGUAAAAGCGUACGCCAGGCGGGUUUGUUUAAAGCGAGAUUGUGAAA